AUGCUGCCGCUGCAGCUGCUGGGAUGGGCCGCAUGCCUCGCCGGCGCGGCCUACGUCGCCGUGGUGUGCCAGCUGGCCUGCGUGGUGUCCCUGCUCGAGGAUGCCAUGCUCUUCGGCGCCCUGCGCAAGAGCCGUGCGCUCGUCGCCGGCAAGUUCUGGGCGGCCGCCGGCGUCUUCGGCACGCUCGACGGUUGCAUCUUCGCCUUGGUGCUCGCUUUCCGGGCUCUGGUGGUGGACGAUGCGCUGGGCCUCGGCCUCGGGUUCCAGGUGGCCGCCGGGGCGGCGAUGGCGGUGGCUCUGUGCGCGGUCGUGCUGUUGACGCUGGUGGCGCAGCCGGUGGUGUACAUGGUGUGCAAGAACCACCACCACGAGGUCGUCGACAAGGUUCACCUCGACUGA
Molecule: ribosomal RNA, 399 nt
Filed under: Triticum aestivum (bread wheat)
Lineage: Eukaryota; Viridiplantae; Streptophyta; Magnoliopsida; Poales; Poaceae
Description: partial small subunit ribosomal RNA
Source: RNAcentral